This 60-nucleotide transfer RNA is filed under the name Podarcis lilfordi (Lilford's wall lizard). RNAcentral describes it as "tRNA.Ala". It matches the Rfam family "tRNA", at positions 8 to 63 of the family's 71-position model. From Rfam's summary of the family: Transfer RNA (tRNA) molecules are approximately 80 nucleotides in length. Lineage: Eukaryota; Metazoa; Chordata; Lepidosauria; Squamata; Lacertidae. The record is from RNAcentral.
UAGCUCAGUGGUAGAGCAUCUGCUUUGCGUGCUGAAGGUCCCAGGUUCCAUCCCUGGCAA